This 499-nucleotide ribosomal RNA is filed under the name uncultured bacterium. RNAcentral describes it as "bacterial SSU rRNA". It matches the Rfam family "Bacterial small subunit ribosomal RNA", at positions 29 to 521 of the family's 1533-position model. The record is from RNAcentral.
AACGAACGCUGGCGGCGCGCCUAAUACAUGCAAGUCGAGCGAGAAGACGUAGCAAUACGUUUGUAAAGCGGCGAACGGGUGAGGAAUACAUGGGUAACCUACCCUCGAGUGGGGAAUAACUAGCCGAAAGGUUAGCUAAUACCGCGUACGCUCCUUGGACUUCGGUUCAGGGAGGAAAGCGAUACCGUGGGUAUCGCGCUCUUGGAUGGGCUCAUGUCCUAUCAGCUUGUUGGUGAGGUAACGGCUCACCAAGGCUUCGACGGGUAGCUGGUCUGAGAGGACGAUCAGCCACACUGGCACUGCGACACGGGCCAGACUCCUACGGGAGGCAGCAGUAAGGAAUAUUGCGCAAUGGGCGAAAGCCUGACGCAGCGACGCCGCGUGGGGGAUGAAGGUCUUCGGAUUGUAAACCCCUUUCGGGAGGGAAGAUGGAACGAGCAAUCGUUCGGACGGUACCUCCAGAAGCAGCCACGGCUAACUUCGUGCCAGCCGCCGCAGU